CGCUGGCGGCGUGCCUAAUACAUGCAAGUCGAGCGGACCCUUCGGGGUCAGCGGCGGACGGGUGAGUAACACGUGGGUAAUCUGCCCAACUGACCGGAAUAACGCCUGGAAGCGGGUGCUAAUGCCGGAUAGGCAACGAGGAGGCAUCUCCUUGUUGGGAAAGGUGCAACUGCACCGCAGAUGGAGGAGCCCGCGGCGCAUUAGCUAGUUGGUGGGGUAACGGCCUACCAAGGCGACGAUGCGUAGCCGACCUGAGAGGGUGGACGGCCACACUGGGACUGAGACACGGCCCAGACUCCUACGGGAGGCAGCAGUAGGGAAUCUUCCGCAAUGGGCGCAAGCCUGACGGAGCAACGCCGCGUGAGCGAAGAAGGCCUUCGGGUUGUAAAGCUCAGUCACUCGGGAAGAGCGGACGAAGGAGUGGAAAGCCUUCGUCGAGACGGUACCGAGAGAGGAAGCCCCGGCUAACUACGUGCCAGCAGCCGCGGUAAUACGUAGGGGGCAAGCGUUGUCCGGAAUCACUGGGCAUAAAGCGUGCGUAGGCGGUCGCGUGUGUCUGGGGUGAAAGUCCAGGGCUCAACUCUGGGAUUGCCUUGGAAACUGCGUGACUUGAGUACUGG
Molecule: ribosomal RNA, 620 nt
Filed under: uncultured bacterium
Lineage: Bacteria
Description: bacterial SSU rRNA
Rfam family: Bacterial small subunit ribosomal RNA
Source: RNAcentral